RNAcentral lists this ribosomal RNA (1140 nucleotides) under Neocalanus plumchrus. Its description in RNAcentral is "partial large subunit ribosomal RNA". Lineage: Eukaryota; Metazoa; Arthropoda; Copepoda; Calanoida; Calanidae. The record is from RNAcentral.
AAAUUUUUAAGGUCGAACAGACCAUCUUAUAUUAGCUCCUGCACAAAUAUAAGUAUUUAAUUCAACAUCGAGGUCACAAACACCUAUUCUGAUAAGAACUCUUAUAGGUAUAAUGCUGUUAUCCCUAGAGGAGCUUUUUUAUUAUUCCGAGAGGCUCAUUUUAUAUAUAUGUAUUUAAAUAAUAAUUUUAAUUUUUACCCCAAAAAAUAGAUUUUUAUUAAAAUAGCUAAUAAUAUUUUAUAUCUAUCAGCUUCAUAGGGUCUUCUCGUCUUAAAAACAUUUUUAAGUAUUUUCACUUAAACUAAAAUUUCGAAAUAUGUCCUAAAAAAGAUAUCUUAGUGGUACCAUUCAUUCUAUUUUCCAAUUAAAAAACUAAUUACUAUGCUACCUUAGCACUAACGCGGCUAUUUAAACUAUUCAUUGAGCAGGCGGUAUAAAUAUUAUUUACAAUGUUUUUGAUAAACAGGCUAAAUAGUUUAUGUAGAGUUAUUUUAUCCUAUUUUUAUUUUUUAUAAUAAAAUUAUUUAAUUAUAUAUUUGAUUACAUACUAACUACUCGUAUAAAUAUUAUAUAUAGAGAACUGUUAUUAGUCUUUAUUAAAUUUAAUUAAACAAAUUAUUUAGAGUUGAAUUAAAUAGAAUUUUAAUAUAUUCUUAUAAACAUUGAUAUUUUUACUAAGCACUAAUAGUAUUUUAAUUUGGAUGAAGCUUUAAAACUUAUCUUUUAAAGAUUUUUAAUUUUCACAAAAUUAGAUUUAAUCUAACUUAAAUUUAACAAGAAUCUAUUUUAUGUUAACAUAUCAUCCCAAAAAUUAUAUUCAUUAAAUUGCUAUAACAAUUUUAAUACUAUAAUUUUUAUUCUAAAUAGUUCGUGAGGCAUAUUAUUAUAUUAAAUCAUUUAUACAUGAUGCAAAAGGUAUGAAUACUUAUAUUUUUCUUAAUAAUUUUUAUUAUUUAACACACGAGUCUACCGCUAAAAYUCUYAACCUGAAUAUAUUAAGAGGAAUGGAACCAGCCUUAUUAAUACCCCAGUCGAAGACAUGGUUAGUUUACAAAACUAAAAUUUUAUUUAAAUUAUAAGGUAAUAAAUCAUCAGAAAUUUUUCUUAUAAAUGUUUUCAAGACACUUUUUAGAAUGAUUA